GUGAGAUAUAAAGUUGUGUAGCACUGGACAUCUUAUUGCUACAUUCACAAUGGUAUCCAUCUGUAGGGAAGUCAUACUCCUCUUGACUCUGAUCAGUUAUGGGACUUGUUCUGGGUCCAGCAGAGAAGAGUGUGGACAGACGGCUACCUUUACCAACUGUAAAUGUCAGGUUCAUUAUGAAUUCUCCAAGAAUGUGUCUUCUCGUUGGUUUGGAAUUUCGAACAGCAGUAAAGGGGAUUUGACGUGCAUAAAGGAUAAGCAUGGUACAAAAUCCUUCCUUAUCUACAGUAAACAGAACAUGACAGAGAGCUAUCUACUUCAUCUAGUGGAAUCACACGAGGAUAUUUUUAAGAAGUGUUUUAAUGAAACCAACCCUCUAGAAUGUCAUUGUCAACGACUUGAUGAUCCUGGAAUAUCUUCCAACGUUUCUUUCCUGCUGACCGGUCCAUCAGAUUGCAGCCAACAGACGACGACAGGCUCUCUGAUGUCAGACAGUACAACCGUGUCUGUGUGUCAAAGAAGUACGGAGGGACACAAUAAGACAAACAAUCCUCCAGGUGACCCCUUUGUCGAAUGCCAUAACAAGUUCGUUGCUGAAGGAAAGUCACUGGAGUGUGUCUGCGAGGCUCGUUUUCCUGACAGUCGACCUGAUGACUUCUCACUGACAUGGCCGCCACACUCCAACAACAGCACGAUGAAAGUGAUGAAAGUCACUCGUGAAGAUAACAGUAUGGUCUUCACCUGUCUGAUGACAUGGUGCGGACAUAAGAGGACCACAAACUACACCUGCUCGUGGCCUAUGGCCCAGACAGCGAGCACACAGUGAUACAUGGUCCUAAUAAUUCAUUUAUCACUGAUGGGACACUGAGUCUUAAUUUAACUUGCCUGGCGACUGAGGUGUACCCUGCUCCACGAUAUACCUGGGACGGUCUCACCUGUCAGAAUAACGACUCUGACCAAGGGACCUGUGAGGUAAAGCCAACACCACCAGGUGAUGAUGGACGACAAGUAGAGUGCACAGCGAGAAGCACUGCAGGGGAUUACAAUAAGGGUACAGCAAGGCACAGGUUAUAGCCUCACAUAUCCACCACCAAAACCACCUCUCAUUAACAUCAAGAACCAGACAGUGGGAGACGGCGAUGUCAUUCACUGCAUUGUGUCGGAAGGAAAGCCGUUAGUGACGUCAGUUAACUUCACCUGUUUGACUGACCCCCCACACCACGAUCUGCCAGACACCAGGACAUCAUCAUCUGUGUUCAGUUCCUUGGUCAUCGACAGUACUAAGGUCAAAGAGAAUAUUACUGAAUGUGUCUGCCAUGCUGUCUGGACGCCGAAAGAAGAAUGGUAUUCAAACAGUUCAUCUGUCUUCCUCUUCAUACAAACACAUGACAAAGAUGAUUUAUAUUUCCAAGCGAUUAUUUUUGGAGCAUCUGGAGGUUGUGGUGCUCUAGUUAUUGUCCUCAUCAUCAUCAUUAUAGUCCUCGCCAGAAGUAAGACCCGCAGGAAAGACAUGAAAGAUGGUCGCCACAGCGCAUGGUACACCUAUGAACAUACAGAGGUAAGAGAUCCUCAGGGAACAAACGGGACUGAUGGAGACUACUUCACCCAUAGGUCCGCUAGAGGAAGCGUGAGAGGAUGGCGCUCAUAUACAGUCUCGCAGGUGAAUUCAGAAGCACAUGGACCACAAAACAAUGGCGGGACAUUUCUCGCAACAAGCCCGAGGACACUGGCAACCACUGAUAAAACUGUUUUGCAAGGAAAGGAGCUUCUCAGAGCUGCUCCAACAUAAACUUCUCACUCAAGCCUCCUGUAUCUCAGUGGCAAGGGGAUGAAAACAAUUACACAACUCAAGAGAUGGAGUAUCCUUACGAGGAAGAUGAGUACACUUACUCCGUAUUACGAGAGGAUGAGGGAGACACGUACGACAACAACUCAUCCCGUAUGCCCGAGUGUUUGAGGCAAGAGGUCAGCCAUUGUGAUAUAGAUAACAGCAACUGUCUUGCGGAAGAUGUUCUUGGGAAGGUAUUGUCCACCAGUAGCGAAUUCCGAGACAAUGAAAACAAUGGAACAGGACACACAUCGCCAUUUUUGAGUGGUACAAAAGACACGUCUAAAUUUUUGGACACACGAGCUGAACUAAUCAAGGUAUUGGAGACCAGAGCAAAGAACCUUACGGGCCAAUCAAAAACGAAUGUCAACAAAGGAAGUUUAGAAAACAUCUUCGUUGAACAAUCCAGGAGAAAACCGACUCCUAAACCCAGGGCCGAUCUUCUUGGAAGGAGGGUUUCGAGGAGCUGCUCCAACCUUUGCUUUGAACUACAGAAGCUGACGCCCACGCUGACGAGCACUGACGAUAAUGACGAGACAUGGGAGCGAGACAUGUCCACUGAUUAUGAUGACUGUUUCUUUACUCAGAUGCCAUCAGAGAGUAAAACAAACCCACAAGACGGGGAGAAUAAGUGUUGUUAUUUCACUCUCGAAGAAGACGAGUAUUCUACGGGGUAUGUCCCUUCAAAACAAGGGCAGACUACUGGACCUUUGGAUGGGCAGCGCGAGAGAAAGAAACACAUGAAGCCGCAUGGUUCUGCCACUUUACAACCUGGACAAGACAUGUUUGCUGAACUUAUCAAGAGAUUUGAGGGCACAGCAAGCAGCGCCACCAAUCAUACUUCAAACAUCAAAGGAAGCCUAGAAAACAUCUUGCGAGAACAAUCUCGGAAGAAACCAGCUCUUCUCCCUAAACCCGUCCUGCGUGGAAGAAGGUCUUCUCGGAGCUGCUCCAACCUUCUGCUUGGGAUCCAGAAACCGAAACCUUCAGAUGGCGAGAGUUGAACAUCAUCACGAGGCACGAAAGCGAGACAUGCCCAUUGGUUAUGAUGAAUAUUACUGUUCGCAGACAUCAUUCCACGGAUUCCUAGAUAAUGGCACAAUGUCCCGCUCGACCAAGAUUUGUCAACAGGC
This 2961-nucleotide unclassified non-coding RNA is filed under the name Pomacea canaliculata. Its description in RNAcentral is "uncharacterized LOC112569056, transcript variant X5". The record is from RNAcentral. Lineage: Eukaryota; Metazoa; Mollusca; Gastropoda; Architaenioglossa; Ampullariidae.